RNAcentral lists this ribosomal RNA (497 nucleotides) under uncultured bacterium. Its description in RNAcentral is "partial 16S ribosomal RNA". It matches the Rfam family "Bacterial small subunit ribosomal RNA", at positions 28 to 507 of the family's 1533-position model. The record is from RNAcentral.
GACGAACGCUGGCGGCGUGCCUAAUACAUGCAAGUUGAGCGCUGAAGGUUGGUACUUGUACCAACUGGAUGAGCAGCGAACGGGUGAGUAACGCGUGGGGAAUCUGCCUUUGAGCGGGGGACAACAUUUGGAAACGAAUGCUAAUACCGCAUAAAAACUUUAAACACAAGUUUUAAGUUUGAAAGAUGCAAUUGCAUCACUCAAAGAUGAUCCCGCGUUGUAUUAGCUAGUUGGUGAGGUAAAGGCUCACCAAGGCGAUGAUACAUAGCCGACCUGAGAGGGGGGUCGGCCACAUUGGGACUGGGACACGGCCCAAACUCCUACGGGAGGCAGCAGUAGGGAAUCUUCGGCCAUGGACGAAAGUCUGACCGAGCAACGCCGCGGGAGGGAAGAAGGGUUUCGGAUCGUAAAACUCUGUUGGUAGAGAAGAACGUUGGUGAGAGUGGAAAGCUCAUCAAGUGACGGUAACUACCCAGAAAGGGACGGCUAACUACGUG